CCUCUAAGCAUCAGGUAACAUCAAAUCGUACCCCAAACCGACACAGGUGGUCAGGUAGAGAAUACCAAGGCGCUUGAGAGAACUCGGGUGAAGGAACUAGGCAAAAUGGUGCCGUAACUUCGGGAGAAGGCACGCUGGCGCGUAGGUGAAGAGACUUGCUCUCGGAGCUGAAGCCAGUCGCAGAUACCAGCUGGCUGCAACUGUUUAAUAAAAACACAGCACUGUGCAAACACGAAAGUGGACGUAUACGGUGUGACGCCUGCCCGGUGCUGGAAGGUUAAUUGAUGGGGUCAGCCGCAAGGCGAAGCUCUUGAUCGAAGCCCCAGUAAACGGCGGCCGUAACUAUAACGGUCCUAAGGUAGCGAAAUUCCUUGUCGGGUAAGUUCCGACCUGCACGAAUGGCGUAAUGAUGGCCAGGCUGUCUCCACCCGAGACUCAGUGAAAUUGAACUCGCUGUGAAGAUGCAGUGUACCCGCGGCAAGACGGAAAGACCCCGUGAACCUUUACUAUAGCUUGACACUGAACAUUGAGCCUUGAUGUGUAGGAUAGGUGGGAGGCUUUGAAGUGUGGACGCCAGUCUGCAUGGAGCC
This 590-nucleotide ribosomal RNA is filed under the name Serratia fonticola. RNAcentral describes it as "partial 23S ribosomal RNA". It matches the Rfam family "Bacterial large subunit ribosomal RNA", at positions 1618 to 2187 of the family's 2925-position model. Lineage: Bacteria; Pseudomonadati; Pseudomonadota; Gammaproteobacteria; Enterobacterales; Yersiniaceae. The record is from RNAcentral.